GACGAACGCUGGCGGCGUGCCUAAUACAUGCAAGUCGAGCGAACAGACCAGGACCUUGCUCCCCUGACGUUAGCGGCGGACGGGAGAGUCACAUGUGGAUAACCUACCUAUAAGAAUGGUAUAACUUCGGGAAACCGGAGCUAAUACCGGAUAAUUUAUUGAACCGCAUGGUUCCAUAGUGAAAGACGGUUUUGCUGUCACUAAUAGAUGGAUCCGCGGCGCAUCAUCUAGUUGGUAAGGUAACGGCUUAACAAGGCGACGACGGUUAGCCGACCUGAACGGGUGAACGGCCACACGGGAAGUGAGGCACGUCCCAGACUCCGGCGGGGGGCAGCAGUCGGGACUCUUACGCAAUGGGGGAAAGGCUAACGGAGCAACGCCGGGGGAGGGAUGAAGGUCUUCGGAUGGGAAAACUCUGUUAUUAGGGAAGAACAAAUGUGUAAUUAACUAUGCACGUCUUGACGGUACCUGAUCAGAAAGCCACGGCUAACUACGUG
Molecule: ribosomal RNA, 497 nt
Filed under: uncultured bacterium
Lineage: Bacteria
Description: partial 16S ribosomal RNA
Rfam family: Bacterial small subunit ribosomal RNA
Source: RNAcentral